This is a long non-coding RNA of Pipistrellus kuhlii (Kuhl's pipistrelle), 602 nucleotides long. RefSeq lists it as uncharacterized. Lineage: Eukaryota; Metazoa; Chordata; Mammalia; Chiroptera; Vespertilionidae. The transcript has 2 exons. The record is from RefSeq and is a predicted model, not a curated record.
CGCACAAAUGUUGUGCACCGGGUCUCUAGCAUAAGAAUAAACUUUCAGGUCUCUAGUAUAAGAAUAAACUGUUUCAUGCACUCACAACUGUCAACCUACUUUUGCCAUUCCCUGUAUAGUCCCUGAAUGGUAUCAUCUCUGUAUAUUGGGUCUGAGUGUGGGUUCAAGGUUUCCUUGGAUUUUUCUCAAGGGGUCUUCUUUAUCUUCAUUCAGUACUUCUAUUCCUGUUUUCCUUCUAGUUAAGCAGACUUAUUUUUUUUUUUAAAUCAAGUUUGUUGGGUGACAUUGGUUAAUAAAAUUAUAUAGGUUUCAAGUGUACAAUUCUAUGAUACAUAUUGCCAUUCUCUCUUUUUUUAAUCCUCACCAGAGGAUAAUUUUUUAAUUGGUGUUUUUAAAGAGAGAUACAUUGACUGGUUGCACCUCAACCAGGAAGUGAACAUGCAACCGAGGUAUGUACCCUGACUGGGUAUGGGAUGCAACUCCAACCAAUUGAACCACCUGGCCAGGACCAGAUUGCCAUUCUUAUAUUCAAUCCCCAAUUUCAUCACUUGCUCACGUCAGUUCUUUGAAAUACUUUUGUCCACAAACCAUGACAUGUACUU